GUUUUUUUGUGAAGGUAGGGAUGUUUAGCUCAGGAGAGCUGAUUUAUAAGAAGAAGACACGCUUACUGAAGGCCUCCAGUGGAAGAGUAAAAUGGGGAGAAACUAUGAUUUUUCCACUCAUACAGACUGAAAAAGAAAUUGUUUUCCUUAUUAAACUUUACAGUCGGAGCUCUGUAAGAAGAAAACAUUUUGUAGGCCAGGUUUGCCAAGCAGAACUUGAACUGGGGACUUGUUUUCAAGCAGUAAAUAGCAGGAUUCAGCUGCAAAUCCUCGAGGCACAAUACCUUCCAAGUUCAUCAACACCUCUGGCUUUGA
Molecule: small RNA, 315 nt
Filed under: Rattus norvegicus (Norway rat)
Lineage: Eukaryota; Metazoa; Chordata; Mammalia; Rodentia; Muridae
Description: tandem C2 domains circular RNA Tc2n
Source: RNAcentral